Molecule: long non-coding RNA, 10629 nt
Filed under: Lactuca sativa (garden lettuce)
Lineage: Eukaryota; Viridiplantae; Streptophyta; Magnoliopsida; Asterales; Asteraceae
Description: long non-coding RNA (LSAT_LNC004121)
Source: RNAcentral
GCUUGGUCCCUGCAGUUGGUCGAACAGAUCGUCUAUGCGCGGUAGGCGAUAUCGGUUCUUGAUCGUCAGUUUGUUCAGCUCCCGAUAAUCGAUGCACAUGCGAAAGGAUCCGUCCUUCUUUUUCACGAAUAGGACUAGUGCUCCCCAUGGUGAGAAGCUCGUUCUGAUGAAUCCCUUGCUCAGCAGCUCAUUUAAUUGACUGGAUAGUUCCUGCAUCUCGGCUGGGGCUAAACGGUACGGUGACUUUGCUACAGGGGUAGCCCCGGGGAUUAAGUCGAUUCUGAACUCGACUUGACGUUCCGGUGGGAUUCCUGGAAGAUCUUCUGGGAAAAUAUCCGGGAAGUUGCAGACUUCCGGAAUAUCUUUAAUGUUUUUCGAUUCUCGUUUCUUGUCUACUACGUGGGCUAGAAAGGCAUGAUAUUCCUUACGAAGAUACUUUUGUGCUUUAAUACAGGAAAUGAUUUGUAAACUUGAACUAGGUUUGUCGCCAUAAAUGACAAGAGUUUCGCCGUUUGGCAGAUUUAGGCGAACAGCCCUUUCGUGGCAAAGGAUAUCGGCAUGGUGAAGGCUCAACCAGUCCAUACCGAUGAUGACAUCGAAACUUCUUAUGGAAAUGGGCAUAAGAUCGACUCGAAACAAGCGCUCGUUUAAAUUUAGUGUGCACCCUACGUACAAAUCGUUUGCGUGUUCUGUUUUACCGUUUGCCAUUUCUACAGUGAAUAUUUUAUUGAGUGGUUGGGGUUUUUGAUUAAGUAGGUGUUUGAAUUUAUGACUCACAAAACUUCUCUCCGCACCGCAGUCAAAAAGUAUGCAUGCAUAAGUGUUGUUGAGUAGAAACGUACCCGUAACCACCGUGGGGUCCGCUAUUGCUUCUUUCUGUCCUACUGCCAGCACUCUCCCCACACCGCCAAUAUUCCUUUCCUUGGGACAAUCCCUCCUGAAGUGUCCAGUCUCUCCGCACCCAUAACACGCCCGGCUUACUCCAGUGCCAGAAACUUGAGUGAUUGGUCGUGCCGGUGCUUUACAGAAACGGGCUGUGUGCCCUUUCCUGUCACAGUUCUUGCAGUGCAUCUCGCGACAAAUACCAUGGUGAUGGUAGUUGCACUUGCUGCACUUGGGCAGAUUCCCCGCAUAUGGUUUUGUUGGUGCAGAGGUAGCAGGAGUUGUGGUGGGGGUAGUAGCAGCAUGAACCGCAACCAUUUGCUUCUUUGAAGGUUCUUGCGAAGUUUGCCCCUUCCUUUUGUUCCAAAAUUUCUUCUUGUUGUUGUUGUUGGCAUUGAUUUCAUUGUUGCUGUUCCCUUUGGUUGGUUCAGCCAUAAUAGCCGCGACUCCUUGACAGACACCAUGAUCAACAAGAGAUUGCGCUAGUUCCUUGGCGCUGGCGAAGGUCAAGGGUUUGGAAGCUAACACACUUCCUCGAAGUUGGGGUGAUAGUCCCCAGAUGUAUCUCUCGACCUUUUGGCUUUCCAGGGUUAACAUUCCUGGGCAAAGUGUUAUUAAGUCACUGAACCUGUUGGUGUAACCUGCUAUGUCCGAACCUACCAUCGAAAGGUUCCACAGUUCCUAUUCAAGCUUCUGAAUCUCGCCUCUUUGGCAGUAUUCUCGAAGGAGCAUUCUUUUCAGGUUUUCCAAACCCAUGGAAUUCUCCACCACCAGGGUUAGUGUCUGGACGUGGCCGUUCCACCAUGUCAGGGCGCGUUCAGAGAAAGUAAAAGCGGCAAACUUUACUUUGCUUUCUUCAGGACAUGCGCAGAUUUCGAAUACAGCUUCUGUUUUCUCUAUCCAUUGAGAUAGAGCCAAUACUCCCCGAGUCCCGUAAAAGGGGAUAGGUUUUCCGUUGGUGAAGUCUUUGUAAGUGCAUACCCCUGAACGGCUUUGACCUUGGCCAUUUGUAAAACUGUUUGUUCCUCCUCCCGAUCCAUUGUUGCUCAUUUGAGCCAUUGUUGCAGUUACAGCAGCGGUUACAGCAGUCUGGAACAUAACGGCAUCCAUAGUUUGAGGAGGUGGUGGAGGUGGUGUUGAAGUUGAGUUUCUGCGUGUUGAUCUACGAGGAGGCAUGUUCUGGUAGAGAAAGAUAAGAAUGAAUACUAUAAGUUUCUAAUGUUUUGAUAAUCGUGUGUUAGUUGUAUCUUGAAAUUUGUUUUGAUCUUAGUUUAUGGUUUCAAGGCUGGCAUAGAAAUUUUAGUUAACUCAUAAGUUUCCGAGAGGUAUUAUAAAGAAGUAUUUCAUAUUUAUAUAUAUAUUGGUCACACCCGUGGUGUGUUACAUGUCUUGCUUGGAAAAUUUAACCUACCUAGAGGUCUCCGACUAUCGUUACAAAAGGAAAUAAGUGACAAGAAAAACUUUUAUCCGAAAUCCUAUUUUAUAACAAAAUUGUUGGGGCUCGAACAAGCUCUACUUGCGGCUUUUGGAGCUAGAUUCGGCAUCCGACCGUUUGACUCCCAUCAGUCGCCUCUCGAGAUCUUCUUGUUGUUCCUUCAUCUCUCUUAUUUCUGCCAGAGCCGUUAUCAUUUGGUUCUGAAGUGUCCCCGUGUAGAUUUGGGUAUUCUCAUGUAGUCCUUCCAAACGGCGGAUGUCAGCGGCGUUACCUUGGGUAGCAGCAUUGACCUCGCGAACUCUGGCUGCUUGCCUGUCCGUCUCGUAGUUCUGGGUAGCUAUAGCGUUCACAAUAACAGGAAGUGCUCGAUCAGCUGAGCUUCCCCCACUGACAUUGUAAAAAUCUCGGCACAUGCCGAAAGGAGGGCGUACACCUUGCUGGCGGCUCCAGUAGUAGAGGUGACUUCCCCACAUGGGAAUGGGUCCCGGUUGAUAUGGUCUGAUUUCGGGAGGAUGAGGGAUGGGAGGGUCGAUUACUUCCGGCUCGGAGUCCGUUCCACUAGAAAUUUCCUCGACCUCUUCGUCGACUUCGAAUUCCUCUUCGACUUCGACUUCGAACUCUUCUUCGAUAACCCCUUCGGGUUCCUCCUCGGCCUCUUCUUCGAUUUCCUCUGGGUCUUCCUCUGGGUCUUCUUCUAUCCAACCGCCGUUGCCUUGGUUUGGGUAGUAGGGAUCUCCUGGUAAAUGGAAUCCGACCAUUUGUCUAUACUAGGAUAGAGGUAUGAGAAUUUUAUAAGAAAAAAAAUUUCUAUUUAACGACUUGCUAUUUUUAACUAUAUUUUUACGGAGCACAAAUAUUUUAUUGUACAACUACUUUUAACAAUACUCCUAUAGUAUUUCAAAUUGGCGAAUCUAAAAUAAUUUGUAUUUGGUAAGUUUUUGGCUUGUUGUCCAUUUUGACCAUUCCUCGACGUAUGUUGGUCAAAUCCAGGAUAAAUAUAGUUGAUCUGGCUAUAUUUAUUCUCAACCUGAUUACAUAGCCCGGGGCUCAAUCGUAGUGUCGUAACUUGCCUUAAUACUUUUUAGAAAAACUUGUUAUGAUACGAGAUUAAUGCAUGCUAGUAAAUAUGUAUAUCUUUAAAAGAAAGUAUAUUGUUCAUGAAAAUGUUUCGUCAGAGGGUUUUUGGUCCCCUUUGCAUUUAUAGUUUGUAUAUCUUAUGUGGUUCGAUAUACUUAGUUCACUAUAAACAAUGCUCUGAUACCAAUCUGUCACACCCCCAAACCAGAAUGGCGGAAACAUUCGGGGGUGGAUGACUUCACGUAGUAUCACAACAAUUGAAUAUUGUAAAGAAAGUAACACAACCAUCAUAUAUAUAAUGAAAACGUAUAUUGUUGCGUUAUACAUACUUGCAAAAGAAUACUACAAUAUGAUGAUAAAUGUUCAAUAAUAAAAACAUCCUUAGUGUUCCUCCUCCAAAAGCUGGUAGUUACCUGUAUUACUGAUUCCCUGAGAUAUACAAGUGGUUUUUGAAAAAGUGUCAACAAUUAAGUUGGCGAGUUCAUAAGUGUUUUGCAUUGAAAAGUAUGUCCUUUUUGGUAGUAAAUCGAUGAACGAGGUUUUCAGAAAAUCCAAUAUUUUCUAUAAAUGGUUUGAAAAGUUUCCAGAGUUUGUGUGUGUUAGUAUGUUCCAUACUUGAAUAAUAAUGAUAACUUUGUACCAAAAUGAUGUAGAAAACUGAAUGCAUAUAUGAAUCUCGUAAAUCAAACUUGUUUUUAUACUUUUAUGUGAGUUUUAUAACCAUACUAUUGACACUGACGGCCUGUAACAACAUUCUUCAGGUGUUGUAGUGUUAUGACAUUUGUCACCCCAGACCUGCCGGUCUAACUAUAGCUAAUAGUUUAGGUGCGGGGUUGUCAAUCCCGUAUAGAUCUAUACACAAGUAUCACGCUCUCUCUCCAAGAGAUUAUGGUAUAUAAUACAGGACUUGAAAUGCAUACAUACGAGUACGUUGAAGUUUGAAUGUCUCACAUUACUUGGUAUAAACAGAUUUACGAUAAUAAAGACUUUACUUCCUUUGAAAGUAUUUCAUUUGUCAAGAUGUAUAUGUAAAAUGUAUGAAUAACUUGAUAACAAUACUCAUUAUAGUUUCUCAAAAAGUAUGUUUCCAUUUUGUAUGAAUAACUUGGUGAUAUAAUAGCCCUUUAAACAUAAAGAUAUUUGUAUCAAAACCCUAUAAGAUAGAUACUAUAAUUAUGUUUAUAAAACGAUACUUUGACAUGUAAUGUACUUGUAUUCCCCCCCUAAAACGUGAAAAGAAUUGAAAAGUAGGGGUAUGAACUCACUCGUUAAGUUUGAAGAGAGAGGCUAGCGUUGAACAGAGUUUCGAUCGCGGAAAGUUGCGUCUUCGGGCUCUCGGGAAUCUCUGCAGCGUAGAUCUUUCUUCGGGGGCUCGAGUGCGGAAAUUGAGGUCGUCGGGAUAGCUUCUGGUGCUUGGAAGUGUGUGGGAGUAAAUGGAGUUUUGAGAAAGUGUGCCUAAACUCGCAGCUGAUGCCAUCUAUUUAUAGUGCUAGAGGGGUGAGUACGCAGGGCGUAAUUCUGGAGUACGUGGGGCGUACUCACGUACGCAGCGCGUACCUCGUUACGUUGGGCGUAAGAAUGCGUCAUGGCUUACGACUCCGGGCUAUCUAAGCGUAGAGGGGGCAGCUGAUGGGACUCGACUCUGGGUCUAGUACGCGGGGCGUACUCCCAGAGAACGCGGGGCGUAAUCCGGCCUGUCCUCUUCUAAAUUCCGUAACUUUCGCGUACGAGCUCCGUUUUUCGUGUUCUUUAUAUCCAUGCGUAGGUGAGAUUAUGCUCUACAACUUUCAUUUAGACUCCGUCGGCUAGUUUUGACUUUCUCUUUAAUGAAAUAAUUUUAAUAGGCCAGGCCUCCUAAAGUUCGUUAAAAAUUCAAAGGUUCUUUAUUCACGUCGGUUUNUUUCGUUUGUCUUUUUAUCAAUUUGCUCCUAUUGUGGAGAUCUUCAACUCUCAUUUAGGUUGCGUUAGCUAAUUAACACUCGAUCUUCAAUUCGAGUUUUUAGCCCUCUACUACUGUUACGAAACUUUGAAAAUUCGUAACUUCUUCAUACGAGGUCCAAUUUGGGCGAUCUUUUUAUGCACGCUCACCUUUCAACGAGAUCUACGACUUUUGUUUAGAUACUUAAGGCUAAAAUGCAUAUUAUUGAGAUUUUACUUUUUACGUCAAAUAAUGUUUUAACGGCGUGUCGUAAAUAUACGAGUGGUUAUAAUUUCUUCAAUAUAACCCGGUUUUGAGCGUUCUUUAUGUUUUUGGAAAUGUUGACACGUUAUCUAAUAUUUGAUGCAUCCCAACUUAGAUAUUUGAACACUUUAUUUUCAAGGUUAAUUUAGUUGUAUUUGACUUUUGAGCGUUACAAUGCUUUUGGAAAAUAUAGGGUUGUCACAUCAUCCCCCUGUUAAGGGAAUUUCGUCCCGAAAGUUAAUCUAAGAUAGAGUUUACAGGUUAGGAAAAAGAUGCGGGUAUUUCUGUUUCAUCUGAUCUUCGCGUUCCCAAGUGUAUUCAGGUCAUCGCUUGGCAUUCCAACGGACCUUUACAAUAGGUAUGCGGCUUUGUUUAGUCCUUUUGAUUUCCCGAUCCAUGAUCUCUACUGGUUCCUCUACAAAUUGGAGGUUUUCAUUUAUUGCAAUUUCGUCUAGAGGUACGACAAUGGUCUCGUCGGAUAAGCACUUCUUUUGGUUCGAUACGUGAAAGGUAGGGUGUACGUUGUGGAGCUCCUGAGGUAGUCUAAGUUUGUAAGCCACUGGACCGAUCCUGGCAAGGAUCUCGAAUGGUCCGAUGUAUCUAGGGUUCAGUUUUCCACGUUUUCCGAAGCGUAUUAAACCUUUCCAAGGCGAGACUUUGAGUAGGACAUGGUCUCCAACCUGGAAUUCCAAGGGUUUUCGUCUCUUAUCUGCGUAACUCUUUUGUCUAUCCCUUGAUGCUUUUAGACGUUCUCUAAUUUGAAUAAUAUUCUCCGUAGUUUCCCUUAUCAUUUCUGGUCCAGUGAGCGCGUUGUCAGUUGCUUGUCCUUUUGCUACUUGUGUGUCCCCCACUUCGGCCCAGCACAAAGGUGACCUGCAUUUGCGGCCAUAGAGGGCUUCGAACGGGGCAGCUUUGAUACUGGUGUGGUAGCUGUUGUUGGACGAGAACUCGACCAAGGGUAGAUGUGUGUCCCAUGCUUUGCCAAAAUCGAUUACGCAAGCUCUCAGCAUGUCUUCUAGAGUUUGUAUAGUUCUCUCGCUCUGGCCGUCGGUUUGUGGGUGAUAAGCGGUACUCAUGUCUAGUCUUGUCCCCAAAGCUUUUUGUAGCGACUGCCAGAACCUUGAGGUGAAUCUACUAUCUCGGUCCGAGAUAAUGGAUAUGGGCACACCAUGCAGUCGUACAAUUUCUCUGAGGUAUGUCCUUGUUAACUUCUCCAAUUUAUCCGUCUCUUUGAUCGGUAGGAAAUGCGCUGACUUAGUUAACCUGUCGACAAUUACCCAAAUGGUGUCGAGUCCGCUUGUUGUUUUGGGUAAUUUUGUUAUGAAAUCCAUGGUUAUCCGCUCCCACUUCCAUUCGGGUAUUUCUGGUUGUUGUAAUAAACCCGAGGGCUUCUGAUAUUCCACCUUGACUUUGGCACAUGUCAGGCAUUUGCUUACGUAGGUAGCAAUUUCGGCUUUCAUGUUUUGCCACCAGUACAAUUUCUUGAGAUCGAGAUACAUCUUAUCGGAGCCGGGAUGUAUGGAGUAUCGUGUUUUAUGGGCUUCGUCCAUAACGAUUUCUCUGAAUCCACCAAACUUCGGUAUCCAAAUUCGAUCCAUGAAAUAACGAAUUCCGUUGUUCUUGGUCUCAAGGUUCUUAUCCAUUCCUCUUAGGGCUUCUCCUGUCACAUUUUCGGAUUUCAAGGCUUCUAUUUGGGCUUCCUUGAUUUGCGUGAACAGGUGUGAAUGGAUUGUCAUAGUUAGGGAUUUCACUCGGCGACCUGAGUACUCCUUCCGACUGAGUGCAUCAGCCACUACAUUAGCCUUUCCGGGGUGAUAUCGGAUUUCGCACUCGUAAUCACUUAGUAGUUCUACCCAUCGCCUCUGUCUCAUGUUGAGUUCCUUCUGGUUGAGGAUAUGUUGGAGGCUUUUAUGAUCAGUGAAGAUGGUACAUUUUGUGCCGUAGAGAUAGUGUCUCCAUAUCUUCAGAGCGAAGACGACUGCUCCUAGCUCAAGAUCAUGCGUUGUGUAGUUCACUUCGUGCGUCUUUAGUUGUCUUGAGGCGUAGGCGAUGACCUUCCCUCUUUGCAUUAAGACACACCCAAGUCCUUGGUUUGAAGCAUCACAAUAGACCACGAAGUCCUCCGUUCCUUCUGGCAAGGUUAGGAUGGGCGCACUACAUAAGGCUCGCUUUAGUGUCUGAAAUGCACUGUCUUGUUUUUCUCCCCAGUCGAAGGUCACAUUCUUCUGGGUUAGGGUGGUAAGUGGCUUGGCAAUCUUUGAAAAGUUCGGUAUGAAUCUUCGGUAAUACCCGGCGAGUCCCAAAAAUUGCCGGAUUUCUGUAGGGGUUCUUGGAGUAGUCCAACUAUCUAUUGCCUUUAUCUUGGAGGGGUCCACGUGUAUUCCUUCUUUGCUUACAACAUGUCCUAGGAAAUCCACUUCCCGAAUCCAAAAUUCACAUUUGGAAAAUUUUGCGUAAAGUUUCUCUGCCCUUAAUGUUUCCAGUACUUGGCGGAGGUGUUUGCUGUGUUCUUCCUGGCUUCUUGAAUAGAUGAGUAUAUCAUCUAUGAACACGAUCACGAACUUGUCCAGGAAGGGACGACAUACUCGGUUCAUCAAGUCCAUGAACACUGCUGGAGCAUUCGUCAAUCCGAAGGGCAUUACCACAAAUUCGUAGUGACCAUAACGUGUUCGGAAAGCCGUUUUGGGGAUGUCUCCUUCCAGUACUCGUAGUUGGUGAUAACCAGACCUUAGAUCGAUCUUUGAGAAGUAGCUUGCCCCCUGCAGUUGGUCGAAUAGAUCGUCUAUGCGCGGUAAGGGAUAUCGGUUCUUGAUUGUGAGUUUGUUUAGCUCCCGAUAAUCGAUGCACAUGCGAAAGGAUCCGUCCUUCUUCUUCACAAAUAGGACUGGCGCUCCCCAUGGUGAGAAGCUUGGUCUGAUGAAUCCCUUGCUCAGCAGCUCGUUUAAUUGACUGGAUAGUUCCUGCAUCUCGGCUGGGGCUAAACGGUAAGGUGACUUUGCUACAGGGGUAGCUCCGGGGAUUAAGUCGAUUCUGAACUCGACUUGACGUUCCGGUGGGAUUCCUGGAAGAUCUUCUGGGAAAAUAUCCGGGAAGUUGCAGACUUCCGGAAUAUCUUUAAUGUUUUUCGAUUCUCGUUUCUUGUCUACUACGUGGGCUAGAAAGGCAUGAUAUUCCUUACGAAGAUACUUUUGUGCUUUAAUACAGGAAAUGAUUUGUAAACUUGAACUAGGUUUGUCGCCAUAAAUGACAAGAGUUUCACCGUUUGGCAGAUUUAAGCGAACAGCCCUUUCGUGGCAAAGGAUAUCGGCAUGGUGAAGGCUCAACCAGUCCAUACCGAUGAUGACAUCGAAACUUCUUAUGGAAAUGGGCAUAAGAUCGACUCGAAACAAGCGCUCGUUUAAAUUUAGUGUGCACCCUACGUACAAAUCGUUUGCGUGUUCUGUUUUACCGUUUGCCAUUUCUACAGUGAAUAUUUUAUUGAGUGGUUGGGGUUUUUGAUUAAGUAGGUGUUUGAAUUUAUGACUCACAAAACUUCUCUCCGCACCGCAGUCAAAAAGUAUGCAUGCAUAAGUGUUGUUGAGUAGAAACGUACCCGUAACCACCGUGGGGUCCGCUAUUGCUUCUCUCUGUCCUACUGCCAGCACUCUCCCCACACCGCCAAUAUUCCUUUCCUUGGGACAAUCCCUCCUGAAGUGUCCAGUCUCUCCGCACCCAUAACACGCCCGGCUUACUCCAGUGCCAGAAACUUGAGUGAUUGGUCGUGCCGGUGCUUUACAGAAACGGGCUGUGUGCCCUUUCCUGUCACAGUUCUUGCAGUGCAUCUCGCGACAAAUACCAUGGUGAUGGUAGUUGCACUUGCUGCACUUGGGCAGAAUCCCUGCAUAUGGUUUUGUUGGUGCAGAGGUAGCAGGAGUUGUGGUGGGGGUAGUAGCAGCAUAAACCGCAACCAUUUGUUUCUUUGAAGGUUCUUGUGAAGUUUGCCCCUUCCUUUUGUUCCAAAAUUUCUUCUUGUUGUUGUUGUUGGCAUUGAUUUCAUUGUUGCUGUUCCCUUUGGUUGGUUCAGCCAUAAUCGCCGCGACUCCUUGACAGACACCAUGAUCAACAAGAGAUUGCGCUAGUUCCUUGGCGCUGGCGAAAGUCAAGGGUCUGGAAGCUAGCACACUUCCUCGAAGUUGGGGUGAUAGUCCCCAGAUGUAUCUCUCGACCUUUUGGCUCUCCAGGGUUAACAUUCCUGGGCAAAGUGUUAUUAAGUCACUGAACCUGUUGGUGUAACCAGCUAUAUCCGAUCCUACCAUCGAGAGGUUCCACAGUUCCUGUUCAAGCUUCUGAAUCUCGCCUCUUGGGCAGUAUUCUCGAAGGAGCAUUCUUUUCAGGUUUUCCCAACCCAUGGAGUUUGCCACCACCAGGGUUAGUGUCUGGACGUGGCCGUUCCACCACGUCAGGGCGCGUUCAGAGAAAGUAAAAGCGGCAAACUUUACUUUGCUUUCUUCAGGGCAUUCGCAGAUUUCGAAUACAACUUCUGUUCUCUCUAUCCAUUGAGAUAGAGCCAAUCCUCCCCCAGUCCCGUAAAAGGGAAUAGGUUUUCCGUUGGUGAAGUCUUUGUAAGUGCAUACCCCUGAACGACUUUGACCUUGGCCAUUUGUAAAACUGUUUGUUCCUCCCCCCGAUCCGUUGUUGCUCAUUUGUGCCAUUGCUGCAGUUACAGCAGCGGUUACAGCAGUCUGGAACAUAACGGUGUCCAUAAUUGGAGGAGGUGGUGGAGGUGGUGUUGAAGUUGAGUUUCUGCGUGUUGAUCUACGAGGAGGCAUGUUCUGGUAGAGAAAGAUAAGAAUGAAUACUAUAAGUUUCUAAUGUUUUGAUAAUCGUGUGUUAGUUGUAUCUUGAAAUUUGUUUUGAUCUUAGUUUAUGGUUUCAAGGCUGGCAUAGAAAUUUUAGUUAACUCAUAAGUUUUCGAGAGGUAUUAUAAAGAAGUACUUCAUAUUAAUAUAUAUAUAUAUAUUGGUCACACCCGUGGUGUGUUACAUGUCUUGCUUGGAAAAUUUGACCUACCUAG